AUGAAAUAUACAGGAGACUCUCCUACUCAACAUUACGUUAAAAAAAGAAUCAAGGAUCAGUUCAAUGGGAAUUGGAAUGAUGAAAACACUUGUUUGAGCACAUGUGAUCCUCAUAAUAACAUAUUUGUAAUAAAUCACUGUAGACAAGUCAACUUUUUUUGA
RNAcentral lists this ribosomal RNA (162 nucleotides) under Triticum aestivum (bread wheat). Its description in RNAcentral is "partial small subunit ribosomal RNA". The record is from RNAcentral. Lineage: Eukaryota; Viridiplantae; Streptophyta; Magnoliopsida; Poales; Poaceae.